RNAcentral lists this ribosomal RNA (399 nucleotides) under uncultured bacterium. RNAcentral describes it as "bacterial SSU rRNA". It matches the Rfam family "Bacterial small subunit ribosomal RNA", at positions 397 to 815 of the family's 1533-position model. The record is from RNAcentral.
CCGCGUGGGUGACGAAGGUUUUCGGAUCGUAAAGCCCUUUUCUGUGUGACGAGAUAGGACGGUAGCACAGGAAUAAGUGUCGGCUAACUACGUGCCAGCAGCCGCGGUAAAACGUAGGACGCAAGCGUUAUCCGGAAUUACUGGGCGUAAAGCGCGCGCAGGCGGGUGAUUAAGUCAUAUGUGAAAGCUCUCGGCUAAACUGAGAGAGGUCAUGUGAAACUGAUGAUCUGGAGUAUGUCAGAGGCGUGUGGAAUUCCGCGUGUAGUGGUGAAAUGCGUAGAUAUGCGGAGGAACACCAGUGGCGAAGCGACACGCUGGGGCAAGACUGACGCUGAGCGCGAAAGCAUGGGUAGCGAACGGGAUUAGAACCCCGGUAGUCCAUGCCGUAAACGAUGUACC